RNAcentral lists this ribosomal RNA (484 nucleotides) under uncultured bacterium. RNAcentral describes it as "partial 16S ribosomal RNA". It matches the Rfam family "Bacterial small subunit ribosomal RNA", at positions 28 to 523 of the family's 1533-position model. The record is from RNAcentral.
GACGAACGCUGGCGGCGUGCUUAACACAUGCAAGUCGAACGAUGAUGCUGGAGCUUGCUCCAGUUGAUUAGUGGCGAACGGGUGAGUAACACGUGAGCAAUCUGCCCUUGACUCUGGGAUAACUGCGGGAAACUGUAGCUACUACCGGAUACUUUCACCGGAAGGCAUCUGCUGGUGAUGAAAGAAUUUCGAUCAGGGAGGAGCUCGCGGCCUAUCAGCUUGUUGGUGAGGUAACGGCCCCCCAAGGCGAGGACGGGUAACCGGCCUGAGAGGGUGACCGGUCACACUGGGACUGAGACACGGCCCAGGCUCCUACGGGAGGCAGGAGUGGGGAAUAUUGCACAAUGGGCGCAAGCCUGAUGCAGCAACGCCGCGUGAGGGAUGAAGGCCUUCGGGUUGUAAACCUCUUUUAGCAGGGAAGAAGCGAAAGUGACGGUACCUGCAGAAAAAGCACCGGCUAAUUACGUGCCAGCCGCCGCAGUAA